RNAcentral lists this ribosomal RNA (344 nucleotides) under uncultured bacterium. RNAcentral describes it as "partial 16S ribosomal RNA". It matches the Rfam family "Bacterial small subunit ribosomal RNA", at positions 338 to 693 of the family's 1533-position model. The record is from RNAcentral.
CCUACGGGAGUCAGCAGUCGAGAAUCAUUCACAAUGGGGGAAACCCUGAUGGUGCGAAGCCGCGUGGGGGAAUGAAGUUCUUCGGAUUGUAAACCCCUGUCAUGAGGGAGCAAAUUAAAAAGAUAGUACCAGAAGAGGAAGAGCCGGCUAAACCUGUGCCGGUAGCCGCGGUAAUACAGAGGUCUCAAGCGUUGUUCGGAACCAGUGGGCGUAGAGCGUGGGUCGGUUGUUUCGUAAGGCGUGUGUGAAAGGCGCGGGCUCAACCCGCGGACGGCAAAUGAUACUGCGAGACUAGAGUAAUAGAGGAGGAACCGGAAUUCGCGGUGUAGCAGUGAAAUGCGUAG